CUCCUAUCCUCUCCUAUCCUCUCCCAUCCUAUCCCAUCCAGCUAACCGGGCGGUGCGCCCUGCGUUUGGAGGCUCCGCAAAGGGGGAGAAUGACAAUUUAAAAAAUCCCAAGCCUCUGGCAGCGGCCCCCCCACCCCCGCCCGCCAGGUUGCGGUAACGGCUCCUAGUAAAUGGCUUUGCUCUUGCUCCUUUGCUCUGCUUCCCGUAAUACCCUGAAUCCUUCAGGAAGCAGUCGUCUCCCCACUUUGCAGACAGGAAAACUGAGGUCCAAAGCCCAGAAGCGUGUAUGCAUCGCCCAAGGGUGCUGCUUUUUGAUUCCCUGCGUUCGUGGCUCUGACACUUGGUCCUUGCACGCCGGGGGCAGAUGCCCACUCAGGAGCAAGCUGGUGGCCGUUCCUGCUUCCAGCCCGCGGCUUCCACUCUCCACUUCCUUUGGGAAUUGCAGCAGGGUUGGCAAGAGCUGGCGAACAAUUUAGAAAGUCACUGUAAAAACACAGCCCUCCGGCCAGGAAGUGAAAAGAUAAGUAUGACACAGUUCGUACCCCUGGGACGUUCUCAUCCUAACCAGAGACAAACACUUGUAACAACGGACCACGGACCACCGCCCGGGGCGGAUCAUAAUGAAGUGAACAGAGACGGGAGAGGACUUUAUUCAGCCACCAGGGAGAGAGGAAGAAGAAACCGACUCAGAGAACUGACCUACGAACUGGACUUUGAGGAACGAAGAGGAGUUUUCCAAACAGAAGAUAUCACCAAGCAGGACUCGUGCUUGCAGGGGCGUGGAGGUACGACGAGUGCGGACAACGUGAGAGGCAGUGAUCGCACGCGAGGUGACACUGGAGGGACGCGGUGAUCGCGGCCGCCUGGCAGCUCUAACCCGGGGCCAGGGCCCGGCGACGCUCUGCGGAUCGUGUCACAAGACCAGAGUGAGUGAGCGGUGACG
This 943-nucleotide long non-coding RNA is filed under the name Vulpes vulpes (red fox). RNAcentral's name for it is "lncRNA (ENSVVUG00000000271.1)". The record is from RNAcentral. Lineage: Eukaryota; Metazoa; Chordata; Mammalia; Carnivora; Canidae.